RNAcentral lists this ribosomal RNA (451 nucleotides) under uncultured bacterium. RNAcentral's name for it is "bacterial SSU rRNA". It matches the Rfam family "Bacterial small subunit ribosomal RNA", at positions 335 to 799 of the family's 1533-position model. The record is from RNAcentral.
ACUCCUACGGGAGGCAGCAGUGGGGAAUCUUGGACAAUGGGGGGCGAACCCUGAUCCAGCCAUGCCGCGUGAGUGAUGAAGGCCUUAGGGUCGUAAAGCUCUUUCGCCUGUGAUGAUAAUGACAGUAGCAGGUAAAGAAACCCCGGCUAACUCCGUGCCAGCAGCCGCGGUAAUACGGAGGGGGUUAGCGUUGUUCGGAAUUACUGGGGCGUAAAGCGCGCGUAGGCGGAUUAGUCAGUUAGAGGUGAAAUCCCAGGGCUCAACCCUGGAACUGCCUUUAAUACUGCUAGUCUUGAGUUUGAGAGAGGUGAGUGGAAUUCCGAGUGUAGAGGUGAAAUUCGUAGAUAUUCGGAGGAACACCAGUGGCGAAGGCGGCUCACUGGCUCGAUACUGACGCUGAGGUGCGAAAGUGUGGGGAGCAAACAGGAUUAGAUACCCUGGUAGGAUAGCG